This 691-nucleotide ribosomal RNA is filed under the name Mesomycoplasma hyopneumoniae. RNAcentral's name for it is "bacterial SSU rRNA". It matches the Rfam family "Bacterial small subunit ribosomal RNA", at positions 56 to 732 of the family's 1533-position model. Lineage: Bacteria; Bacillati; Mycoplasmatota; Mycoplasmoidales; Metamycoplasmataceae. The record is from RNAcentral.
UGCAUGUUGAACGGAAUAUUUUAGUUCGCUAAAAUAUUUAGUAGCAAAUGGGUGAGUAACACGUACCUAACCUACCUUUUGGACUGGGAUAACCAUUGGAAACAGUGGCUAAUACCGGAUAUGAUAAAAAUUUGCAUGAAUUUUUAUUCAAAGGAGCCUUCAAGCUUCACCAAGAAAUGGGGGUGCGCAACAUUAGUUAGUUGGUAGGGUAAAAGCCUACCAAGACGAUGAUGUUUAGCGGGGCCAAGAGGUUGUACCGCCACACUGGGAUUGAGAUACGGCCCAGACUCCUACGGGAGGCAGCAGUAAGGAAUAUUCCACAAUAAGCGAAAGCUUGAUGGAGCGACACAGCGUGCAGGAUGAAGUCUUUCGGGAUGUAAACUGCUGUUGUAAGGGAAGAAAAAACUAGAUAGGAAAUGCUCUAGUCUUGACGGUACCUUAUUAGAAAGCGACGGCAAACUAUGUGCCAGCAGCCGCGGUAAUACAUAGGUCGCAAGCGUUAUCCGGAAUUAUUGGGCGUAAAGCGUCCGUAGGUUUUUUGUUAAGUUUAAAGUUAAAUGCUAAAGCUCAACUUUAGUCCGCUUUAGAUACUGGCAAAAUAGAAUUAUGAAGAGGUUAGCGGAAUUCCUAGUGGAGUGGUGGAAUACGUAGAUAUUAGGAAGAACACCAAUAGGCGAAGGCAGCUAACUGG